Firmicutes bacterium CAG:646 is the source of this 181-nucleotide non-coding RNA. It matches the Rfam family "6S / SsrS RNA". Rfam says of the family: E. coli 6S RNA was the first non coding RNA to be sequenced, but its function was unknown until recently. It consists of 184 nucleotides that fold into an extended hairpin structure with a large single-stranded internal bulge. Lineage: Bacteria; Bacillati; Bacillota. The record is from Rfam.
AGUAUCCUGGGAUGUGCGAUACCCCCUUAUUUUUGAACCUACAUUUACGUUUAUGGGAUUCCUAUAUUGUUGAUCGGAUGUCAAGCCGUCAUUACGCAGCGGAAGGCAGAAGAGAAAUUGCGGUCGCCCACCUAGCAGUCGCUAGGCGUCAAAAAAAGGGAAACGGCAUUCUGGGACUACG